Molecule: ribosomal RNA, 497 nt
Filed under: uncultured bacterium
Lineage: Bacteria
Description: partial 16S ribosomal RNA
Rfam family: Bacterial small subunit ribosomal RNA
Source: RNAcentral
GACGAACGCUGGCGGCGUGCCUAAUACAUGCAAGUUGAGCGCUGAAGGUUGGUACUUGUACCAACUGGAUGAGCAGCGAACGGGUGAGUAACGCGUGGGGAAUCUGCCUUUGAGCGGGGGACAACAUUUGGAAACGAAUGCUAAUACCGCAUAAAAACUUUAAACACAAGUUUUAAGUUUGAAAGAUGCAAUUGCAUCACUCAAAGAUGAUCCCGCGUUGUAUUAGCUAGUUGGUGAGGUAAAGGCUCACCAAGGCGAUGAUACAUAGCCGACCUGAGAGGGGGAUCGGCCACAUUGGGACUGAGACACGGCCCAAACUCCUACGGGAGGCAGCAGUAGGGAAUCUUCGGCAAUGGACGAAAGUCUGACCGAGCAACGCCGCGUGAGUGAAGAAGGUUUUCGGAUCGUAAAACUCGGUUGGUAGAGAAGAACGUUGGUGAGAGUGGAAAGCUCAUCAAGUGACGGUAACUACCCAGAAAGGGACGGCUAACUACGUG